GAGUUUCUCUAUUACUGGUUUCACAGAGCUCUGCAUCACCAUUUUCUCUACUCUCGUUAUCACUCCCAUCAUCACUCCUCUAUUGUCACCCAGCCGCACACUGGUAAGUCCUCAGAAGAUAUUUUUGUAGCAUUUUCUUUUAUUUGAUCAAGUUUUCUAGAGGUAGAAUGAUCAGUCGAGAACAUACAUUAGAUAUAUAAACCAGGAGAACCUACAAAAACAUGCAACUCUAUAUCAUGUCUGAUAUCAUACCUAGAAUUUAGAAAUACAGUAAUACCUUGCAGUAACUAGUUAAAUUGGACAAAUAACAUAAAAAUUAUGUACACAGUCAAUGUAUAUACUUUAAACUUUAAAACAAAUAACUAUGUCAAGUAAAAUGGGACAGAUGAGAAUAAAAUUACUUCGUACAUUGACUUUCUGGAGGUUACGACCUGCCUGAAAGCUUGUAGGCCACAAUAACCACAAGGUUUCAGUUUAAUCUGUAAGACAAUCAAUUAGCUAUCUGGAAAUACUUACCACGUUUUUUUUAAUUCUUGCAGCUGUUAUUCAUCCAUUUGCCGAGAUUGUAAUAUACUAUUUGCUCUUUUUUAUACCAAUCGUCGUAACAUUAUUCACUGGUACUAGUUCAAUAGCUUCAAUUGGUGCUUAUGCCAUCUAUCUUGAUUUCAUGAACCUCAUGGGCCAUUGCAACUUUGAGCUAAUUCCUAAGUGGAUGUUCUCUAUCUUCCCCCCUCUCAAGUACUUGAUGUACACGCCCUCGUGAGUCUUUGCUGGCCUUUUAUUUCAAUUUUUAUUUAUAUUUAUAGCAUAAACAAUGCUUCAGAGACGUUUCUUUUACUUUUACCUCGACAAGAUUUUAUAAACCAUGUGUUUUUGCAUUUUGCAUUUGUCUUAUCAUAUCCAACUUCCAUUUGCUAUGGUUAUCUUCAAAAGUGAUUUGAAUAUCACAGGAAUUUACUUGAGCUAACAAAGAUUAUUUGAAAUAAUUGCCGGUAAAAAGGUAUUCACUAGAAACUUUGAAGUUGAAUUUCACUUUCACAUAUAAUCACUGAACUUUAGCACUACAGAAGUAAACCAAACUUUACCAAUAAUAACACUAAAGUCACAAAGCAAUUUUUUGUCACAUUAAGAUAAUUGAACUUUACCCACAAUAGCAAUAAAGUUGUUGAACUUCAUCCACUAUAAUGACAAAAUUUACGCAUAAAAGCAACAUUACUGUUAAAAGAUAAAGUUGUGUGACAACAAGAUGUUAUAUCCACGGAGGAAAACAGAAACAGAGAGGUUAUAUCAUGAAUAUCUACAAGGUAGCACAACUGUUUAUAUAGAAUUUGUGACAACAGAGAUGCAACUUGUUUAUUUCUGUACAGCCAAAGUCAGAAGGCUCAGUGAACAGAAAAUAUAUAUUUGCUUCUAACUUAAGUUAAUCAGGACAUAAAAGGAUAAAAAGGAAACUGGAGUAUUCUUACAAAUAUAUAUUUUCCUACUGACUAGGCAGACUAUUAACCCCUGAUAAUUUUCUAUUUGUGAAGAUUUUAGAUUCAUUCUUUAUUGCUAAUAUCAAUUCUUUGAUGGCACAGGUUCCACUCACUACAUCACACUCAAUUUAGAACAAAUUAUUCACUUUAUAUGCCAAUGUAUGACUAUCUGUAUGGUACAGUGGACAAGUCCUCAGAUACAUUGUAUGAAAAAUCACUUGAGAGGGAAGCUGAAUCACCUGACGUGGUGCACCUAACACAUCUAACAACCCCAGAAUCCAUCUACCAUCUCCGUCUAGGGUUUGCAUCCUUGGCCUCGAAGCCUCAUGCUUCUAAGUGGUAUUUGUGGUUAAUGUGGCCCAUUACGCUGUGGUCGUUUUUGAUUACUUGGAUUUAUGGUCACACAUUUGUUGUCGAGAGAAAUUUGUUCAGGAAUCUCAAAAUACAAACUUGGGCUAUCCCAAAAUAUAGUAUACAAGUAAGAACGAUUAGUUGUAAGUUCUGCAUUAUACACUGCUACAGAGACUAAUUGGCCUAAUAUUUUAUUUUGUUCAGUACUUUAUGCGAUGGCAAAGAGAUACUAUUAACAAUUUGAUUGAGGAAGCGAUUAUGGAAGCAGAUCAGAAAGGCAUAAAAGUCUUGAGCCUUGGACUCCUAAACCAGGCAAGUAAAACUAUAGAAUAUCAAAUAUUAGCCAAAGCAGAUAUUAACUAUUAGGGAGACUAUGAAUUAAAAAGAAUUCUUCCACCACCCUAUAUUGUUGGCCAGACAAUAGAGGGUUUCAGCUGAUACUUACAAUUAUACACAAAUAUAAUGUUCUAGCAGGAAAUGCAGCAGAAUAAUAACGUUGAACUUUAUGUAAGGAGCCAUCCCCAGUUGAAAGUGAAGGUGGUGGAUGGAAGUAGUUUAGCUGUUGCUAUAGUCCUAAACUCCAUUCCUAAAGGAACUUCCCAAGUGGUCCUUAGAGGUCAUUUCUCCAAAGUUGCUUACUCUAUUGUCCUAGCCUUGUGCCAAGGAGGAAUUCAGGUAAAUUUAACGAUAUAUUAAUCUCCACAAUGAUUUUGGUUUCCCCGUCUUAUCCAUUGAAAUUUUUAUAUACAGGUUAUGCUAGAUGGAAAAGAGUACAAGAGACUAAAAGCAAUGCUUAAUCCUGAAGCUGCAACUAACUUGAUCCCUUCAAAAUCUUAUGCAUCAAACGUAUAAACCAUAAUUUGAUAGUAGUUUAUAACAACUCCUUCACCUUCACCUUCCCUUUUUCCUCCUCUCCUAUCCCAGAGACCUGAUCUCUAAACCAUUUGGACUUUAAAAGGUUCAAAGAUAAAAAGAGAACACUUCUCUUCCCCUCCCCGCAUUUAUCCCACAUUGUUGGCUGUCGAACUAGAAAAGUUCGCAAAGCCUAGAACAGCCCGAAAGAAUACUUCUUUAUCAAAGUAUUGUAUUGCAGAUAUGGCUAGUGGGGGAUGGAUUGAGUAAAGAUGAGCAACUGAAAGCGCCAAAAGGGACAUUGUUCAUUCCUUUUUCACAAUUUCCAACAAGGAAAGCUCGCAAGGAUUGCUUCUACUUCACCACACCAGCCAUGACCGUCCCAAAACAUUUUGAAAAUGUAGACUCUUGUGAGGUUAGAAAAGAUCACUUAAUUUCCUUAAUUUUCAAUCAUUUGAUUUUUCAAAUAAUUAGGAAAUUCAUGACUAAUUUUGUUAUGAAUCCAGAACUGGCUACCAAGAAGGGUGAUGAAUGCAUCGAGAAUAGCCGGGAUUUUGCAUGCAUUGGAAGGUUGGAAUGAGAAUGAGUGUGGAAACAUGACGUUUGAUAUUGAGAAAGUGUGGAAAGCCAGUCUUCAACAUGGUUUUAGCCCACUGACCAUGCCUUCUGCUACUGAAUCAAAGGCUUAAAGAUACAAAUUGCCUUCAUCAUGACCAUAUCUCGAAUCAGUAGUGAAUUACAAGUUUUUCAUCCUAUCUUUCAAGCUCAUAAUUUUCCUUGACAGGAACAGGAGAAUUAUUUCCUAAUUGAAGCAUGGAUGGUAGAUACAGUCAAUGAGAAUAGGGAAGCCAUUGACUAAUAUUGCUUUCGCUACUUAUCUUAAUUUUGCAAAUAAGCAGUCUGUUGUUAAAUUCAACUCAAACUUCUAUCAAAGUUCUGUAUCUAGAUUGAUAAUUUCCGCUCAUGAUACGAACCCAUGCCAACAGUAAUCAAAGUCAUUUACGUUCUUUCGAGCUAUAAGUUUCCAUUUAGUCAAACAACAAAGACCAACUCAAUCUCUAUCUAUUGUCAAUUUAAAUUCAAUCUUUCUUUUCUAUCAACUCAAACCCAAGUAAUGUAUCAAUCAAGUUCAAAUUCAAUAAGCAUUUUCCUGUUUGUAAAUGGCAAUCAUCUGUUUGCUUGAUUCCUGAAUUUGCAUUUCUGAACUUUUCAUGUGUUCUACAAUUAGGCUUACCUCAACUCAGUUAGAAAGUAUUAUGUUGUUACAUGAUUUUCUUAUCAUUGUGUGUGUUAAGUGGAGACAAUAUUCUUGUGAUCAUUCCUUAGUGCAUGAUAUGCAAGCCAAAAGGGAAAUACGGGAUAAAUCAAUAUUCAUUAGGUAGAACCAUUGCUUGUACAUUUCCAAACUGGGUACAUCUUCAAGAAGUUUAUUUGUUUCUUCUAUUAUAGCAGUCCGCAAAUGAGAGUAAUUCCUUCAUCUCGUGUACAUGUUCGAGAUAGUAACUCAAGAGGACACCCAACUAUUAGCAAUUAUCUAACAAAGUCAUGUUUCCUUCUUUUGGGGGCAACAAGGUCACCAAUUUUUGCCUAUGGCUAUAUCUCUUCACAAGUCCCCCCUAUAUCUCUUAACAAGUCCCCAUGAAUUUCUUCUUUUUCUAAACCACGACCCAAUCCCACCCAACCCUAAGUCAUAACCCAAAUUAACCCUAUUAACAAAACAAUGAAGACACCAAUCAAUUUUAAUGUAUUUAAAUGCUUAUUAUGCAAGGUUCUACAAGUUUUCUUUUACUUGUAGACGUAUGUCUGACCAAAACAACUACGAUCGACAGCAAGCAGAGAGUAAUUUCAUAAUGUGAAUAAAAAUAGAAGCAUUUCUCAAGGUGAUAAAUAAGAAUAAAUAUAGGAUAUGGAAUAGCACUUACUUCAUCAACUUUUUCACACACAUAGCUUUAUUCCAUGGCUUUUUCCCAAUCUUCUUCCAUCAAAGCUCAAUCUAGAGAUGAUAAAAAUCACCCUGAUCAGAGGUCACAAAAUAGCAUGACAUGAAUGAGUACAACGGGACAAUAAAAAAGCAGUACAGUUUUAUUUUUUUAAAAAGAAUAAUAACUCUGUAUUACAUCCAAAACAGUACUUAUGUAUGUACUGAAACCAUAAUUUACAAUUGGAACUCUAGAAUGCCCCUAUUCCCAUCUAUAAUGUAUCAAGAACAUCAACGAUAGAUAUGGUGUCAUUAGAGUAAAUCUGAUUACACCACCACCAAAGGAUAUGGUACAGCGGAUGGGGUUGCUCCUCCUUUAACCAGAGAUCUCGAGUUCGAGUCCAGGAAUGGAAAAAAUCCUUGGCAGGGAGGGCUUCCCUGAAUUGGCCCUAUGCAGCACAAAUCUGGAUUAGUCGAGCUACAAUGCAGGUACCGGACACCACAUGGGAAGCAAACAAAAAAACUGAUUACACCACCUUGAAGUUGAUGCCUGUUUGCAAAGGGCCUUUUGCCUCUCACCUUCUUUACUCAUUCGCCCAUCAAUCCCGGCGCAUAAACCACACAGCAUUAAACCCGCCCUGCAUUAGGUGAAAAAAAAAUUAAAAAGAAGAAUGAUUUAACAAAAAAAUUGAACUAUGUGUCAUGCUUAUAGAAUUACUGUUGAUAAUUUUGAACUUUAUGCGAUAAUUUUCUCCUUGUUUCUUUUUGAACCAUGAUAACCAAGGCUUAGCUGGGUAUUCCAAGUCUUGGAUAAGGUUUUCGGGAUGAAAAGGUUUUAAGUUUAAUUUUCAUCAAAUUAUAAUGAUUUUGCAUCCAACUUUAUGCCCUUAUAUUCUUUAUUAUUAGCAUGUACGAGUGUGAUAAAUUGCAUCAUUUUGUGAAUUAAGAAUGAUAUUGCAGCUGAUUCAAUUGGAAGAAUAUCAACAGACAACAAUAGUUGUAAUAGAUACAACUCAAUUCCAAAACUCCACAUAUGUGACUUCAAAACUCGACAAAAUCAAACUUGACAUUGCUUGUCACUUAGUAAAAUUGAAAAAAGAGGAUUAACGUUCACUCAGGUAAACAUGUCAAUUAUAUAUUUUGAAACGAAAUAAGUGUGGCAUUCUUUUCAAAGGUAUGACGACCACGCUGAAAAAAUCACCUAUUUACGAACGGAGUAGAGAAGGGGGAAAACAACUCUUGCUAAAAUAACUCCAAAGCUUAUACAGCUACUAGUAUUAUUGAAAAUACACUACACCGAAGUUAUUUUAGCAAGUGUUGUCUCCACUUCCCCAAUUUCCGAGAUAGCGCAGACGUGUGUGCAGUGUACUGUGUACUCUCUGGC
This 5980-nucleotide long non-coding RNA is filed under the name Capsicum annuum. RNAcentral describes it as "long non-coding RNA (CANN_LNC001844)". The record is from RNAcentral. Lineage: Eukaryota; Viridiplantae; Streptophyta; Magnoliopsida; Solanales; Solanaceae.